RNAcentral lists this non-coding RNA (29 nucleotides) under Mus musculus (house mouse). Lineage: Eukaryota; Metazoa; Chordata; Mammalia; Rodentia; Muridae. The record is from RNAcentral.
UGCGAAUAGGUGGAGUCUCGCUUAGAGCG